Molecule: ribosomal RNA, 465 nt
Filed under: uncultured bacterium
Lineage: Bacteria
Description: partial 16S ribosomal RNA
Rfam family: Bacterial small subunit ribosomal RNA
Source: RNAcentral
GACGAACGCUGGCGGCGUGCUUAACACAUGCAAGUCGAACGGAAAGGCCCUGCUUGCAGGGUACUCGAGUGGCGAACGGGUGAGUAACACGUGGGUGAUCUGCCCUGCACUUCGGGAUAAGCUUGGGAAACUGGGUCUAAUACCGGAUAGGAGCCAUCUUUAGUGUGGUGGUUGGAAAGUUUUUUCGGUGUAGGAUGAGCUCGCGGCCUAUCAGCUUGUUGGUGGGGUAAUGGCCUACCAAGGCGGCGACGGGUAGCCGGCCUGAGAGGGUGUACGGCCACAUUGGGACUGAGAGACGGCCCAGACUCCUACGGGAGGCAGCAGUGGGGAAGAUUGCACAAGGGGCGCAAGCCUGAUGCAGCGACGCCGCGUGGGGGAUGAAGGCCUUCGGGUUGUAAACUCCGUUCGCUAGGGACGAAGCUUUUUGUGACGGUACCUAGAUAAGAAGCACCGGCUAACUACGUG